Molecule: long non-coding RNA, 248 nt
Filed under: Lupinus angustifolius (narrow-leaved blue lupine)
Lineage: Eukaryota; Viridiplantae; Streptophyta; Magnoliopsida; Fabales; Fabaceae
Description: long non-coding RNA (LANG_LNC000392)
Source: RNAcentral
UUAUAUUCAUCACUAAUGCACUAUGGGUCAAUAGGGAGAAACUAAUAUUUUAUGGAGGUGGAGAAAUCAAGAGUAUACUUAUUUAGUAUACUUGAAGAUGAAUAUAGUUAUGGAUGGAGAGAAUAAAAGUGAAACAUGAAUCUAAUUAAAAGGAAAUUAAAAUAGAUGAGGCAGUAGGGGGAGGAAGAUUGGGAAUGAGAUUAAUAAAGAAAAUGGGAAGCGAGAUUUGUUGUUUUAUUGUAUGGCGG